UCAGACCGGAGCAAUCCAGGUCAGUUUCUAUCUAUAUAUGAAUUUCUUCUAGUACGAAAGGACCGAAGAAACGCGGCCUAUGUUUUUACAAGCCACAGCUACCAAAUUAUGAUUUAAACUCAAUAAUAUAGUAGCCUAAUAAUUUUCUCAAGACAAGAGUUG
Molecule: ribosomal RNA, 162 nt
Filed under: Rhinella merianae
Lineage: Eukaryota; Metazoa; Chordata; Amphibia; Anura; Bufonidae
Description: partial 16S ribosomal RNA
Source: RNAcentral